AUGCUUCAUGCUAGUGAGACUUCUUCAUGCCUUGACUUACCUAUUUAUGAUGAAUAUGAUGAUGAGCAUGUUGAGUUGCCUAGUUAUGAUGCUAUGCUUCAUAGGAUAUCAUGUGAAAAUUCUUUUGGUCAGGUCAUGUUUGACAAUCCAUUGAACUUGUCAUAUGCCAUGAGUGAGAUCUCCCAUAUUGCCUCAUUUCAAUCUAAACAUAGUAACUAUGCAUGCCCCAUUAAAAUAAAUCCUAUUUGCACUUAUGGCAUAGAUGACGAGAUGAUGGUUAUUGGCUUUUGCUUCUCUUGUGAUGAUAUUGCCAUGCUUCCUUUACAUGAUUUGCGCAAUUCAUCUACUAUGCCAUGCCAUGAUCACAUUGAACCAAAUAUGCAUUGUUUUGGAUGUUGUCAAUAUUCUCCACGUGAUGUUUCUACUCAUGCUCAUGAGGAGACCCCCAUAGUUUCCUCAUACAUAUUAGGAGAUCUUGAUACAUUUCAUACCUUGCAUGAUUCCCAUGAUAGUGUACACCAUAUGCAUUCCAUGAAUAACAAUGCUCUAGAUAUUUCUCAUGAUGCAUUACACACUUUGAGUCUCCAUUAUGUCAUACAUAACAACAAACCUAUCAUGAUGGAUGACAUGUUUCUAUAUCACACAUCUCAUUUAUUUGAGCAUUGGAUAUUUAGUGCUAACCAACACAAGCACGUGCGCAUCAUGAUGGAUGAUGUGCACAUAUACCACACACACAAUUUUUCCUUUGUCCUUGUUUUGUGUAGGUACUCAUGUAUACUCGUCAACCUCUCAACCCCAAGAGUUGACGAAACGAGCUCUUGA
RNAcentral lists this ribosomal RNA (822 nucleotides) under Triticum aestivum (bread wheat). Its description in RNAcentral is "partial small subunit ribosomal RNA". Lineage: Eukaryota; Viridiplantae; Streptophyta; Magnoliopsida; Poales; Poaceae. The record is from RNAcentral.